Molecule: long non-coding RNA, 1378 nt
Organism: Pomacea canaliculata
Lineage: Eukaryota; Metazoa; Mollusca; Gastropoda; Architaenioglossa; Ampullariidae
Exons: 2
Source: RefSeq, a predicted model, not a curated record
ACUGCGCAACAGGACAGGUCAAAUGUUUUACUGCAAAUAUUUCAUAAGCGGCAGCAUGUAUAGAUGCUGCAAUUUACAGGGAUGAUUAUUUUGCAAUUAUCUGUCAAUCUGUGUAAUAAAACCCCAAAACUAUUAAGUAUGGUCUUUAACUUACAGAUAAGAUCUUUUACUCAAUCACUGGGGGGAAAAAAUCACCUUUCUAAUCCUUUAAUAGUAUUGGAGGCUAUAAGGUGAUACCCAUGGGAAUUUCUUUUCUCUCGAUCGUCUUUUUCUCAUUUAUCUUUCAGUCAGUUUAUCUGUCUCUCACACACCCAUGUCUACACUUAUAGAGAGUAAAAAGCAUUGUGACACAGAUAAACCAUACGAACACACCCGGGACCCUAUUUUCGGUUUGGUUAACCUGACGACGUAUCGCUGAUGUUGCGAAACCAGUCUCCUGACGCGACAAGAUCUAUUUUCUUACGUGAUCAUGUGACAUGCUAUGACGUUAUCAGUACCCAAUAAGCUGUCGGGUACAGAGGGUAUAAUAAUGCCCAGUUUCGACCGCACAACUUUGGAGCGGGCCGACUCGGACAGCAGAAGAUUUGUGUGCCACCCCCCUACUUCCCACCUCCGCCAGCAGCGUCAUGCUGUUUGCCGUGGACUGGAAGUGGGUGCUGUCCCUCGACGGGCAAUCUUCUUAAGUUGAUCGCUUACUUCGUUGCCUCCUGGGGUGUUCGUGCCUCGGGACAAACCAACUGGCAGUGUUGAGGACGAGGACUGUGACCGUCAAAGCAGCAUGGCGUCCUCGCGUCUCGCUCUGCUCCCGGUUCUCACGUAGGGUUCGCGUCCGUAGCGACCUCGCCGUCACCUGCUGUAGGUGCUAAGAGGUGGGCGCGGCCUUGCCUGGGGACCACAGUCGUGCAUGACCAGUCUUGCGAGACAAGGGGUAGGUCUAGUCGCCGUCAUGGCGCGGACCUGACUCCUUUGCAAUGUCUCCAAACUGUUUCAUGUCGUUUGUGGUCUCUAGGACUGUCAUCCACUUACCGAGAACACGUGAGCAGAUGCGCAGUUUCGAUCCUUGCCUCUGUUGGCUGAGAGUCUUUUACGUUGAUAUGAAGAGCAGCAUCCAAUAUACAGGUGUCGAAGGAAAAUGAUAUCUGUUGGUGCUCAACACUGCCAGUACAGAGGGAAACGUCAUUCAAACCCAGAAUGAGGCAACAUAGUAAGUGAAAUCAGUUUAUGGUGAGACUACAGGUGACGGGGCAGCACCCCUUUCUGAUCUUGACAGCAGCAUUGACUGAACGCUUUAUCAACUUGUUUUUGUUGGCUUAAAUAUAUCUACUCUCCUAUUGUCGUCAACUUUGUAUUAUCAGCAAAAUAAAAAGAUAUUACUAAA